Molecule: long non-coding RNA, 357 nt
Organism: Dipodomys ordii (Ord's kangaroo rat)
Lineage: Eukaryota; Metazoa; Chordata; Mammalia; Rodentia; Heteromyidae
Exons: 4
Source: RefSeq, a predicted model, not a curated record
GGAUUACCAGAUAGGAAGAAGAGGCUGCCACGCUGGCGUAUUUCCAGAUCUGAAGCUGCUGCUUUGAACCAGCCACUUUUUAAGGUCAGUGUGUUUACUGGUGGCCAAAAGGAGCCUGUGUGUAAGAGAAAGAAACACAUGUGGCUGAGUGGCAGAGAUCAGGCACGGGACUUGAUGGGAAUCCUAAAUGAAUGGUGGGUCAUCAAUCUGCCAGCUGCCUUUACUCUCAUCCAUUGAGCCAGGGGUGUCCCCAUUUGGGCAGUAGUUCAGAAUUUUAGAAGUCUCCUACACAUCUCACUGGAAGUCCUAGUCCUGAUCACUAGUUUCAGAAGGUCUACAUGGAAAUAGAGAGCUCAG